CUUCUGUCGGAUUCUCCAGCACCACACAAAGAGCUGUCUUUGAGACCAGACACCCUACCCCUUCUUCCUUCUGCUUGGGUACUUCCUUCUGCUUGGCUCCCAGAGUGAGAAACUAGGCAUUCAUUUGUUCAAUCUUCAAACAUAGUCUAUUUGAAAAUACCUCUCCCCUGUUGACAUCCUAAUGUCUAAAACACUACCAUAAACAUUUUCAUCCUCCUUUUGUGCCCCCUAUUAAGAAGCAAACCUGUGAAGCUACUAUCGUUUAUCAUCAGUGUGAAUGCACUGAGAUUAGUCAAGAACAACUUUUUUUUUUUUUUUUUGAGACACAGUCUUGCUCUGUUGCCCAGGCUGGAGUGCAGUGGCACAAUCUCGGCUCACUGCAACCUCUGCCUCCCGGGUUGCAGCAAUUUUCUGCCUCAGCCUCCCAAGUAGCUGGGAUUAUAGGCAUCCACCACCAUGCCCGGCUAAUUUUUUUGUAUUUUUAGUAGAAACAAGGUUUCACCAUCUUGGCCAGGCUGGUCUUGAACUCCUGACCUCGUGAUCCACCUGCAUUGGCCUCCCAAAGUGCUGGGAUUACAGACAUGAGCCACUGUGCCUGGCCAUAUGUUUUUCUUAAGAGAGAAAGGAAAGAGCUGGAAGGCACGGGGUGGGAGGGCCUGAAGAAGGGCAUAAGUCGGGUGGGGUGGGGCAUGGACUGAUUUGGCCUCUUUGUCUUGUUUUGAUGCCAGGCCAGACCUGAGGGAGUGGGUAUGCUCUUGGGGAGUACACAGGCACUACCAUGCUGUCAUUAUCUUUGCUUUUGUCUUGGGGGUUUAGCCAAAGAUUUCAUCCGGCACUUGAUGGAGAAGAACCCAGAGAAAAGAUUCACCUGUGAGCAGGCCUUGCAGCACCCAUGGAUUGCAGGAGAUACAGCUCUAGAUAAGAAUAUCCACCAGUCGGUGAGUGAGCAGAUCAAGAAGAACUUUGCCAAGAGCAAGUGGAAGCAAGCCUUCAAUGCCACGGCUGUGGUGCGGCACAUGAGGAAACUACAGCUGGGCACCAGCCAGGAGGGGCAGGGGCAGACGGCGAGCCAUGGGGAGCUGCUGACACCAGUGGCUGGGGGUGAGGAGCGGGUUCUGCAGAAGGGCAUGGGUGGUCCACAAAGGCGCACCCGGGCUGGAGUGGAGGGCCUGCCCCUGCGGCCAGCUCUGUUCUCUCUUCCCAUGCAGGGCCGGCAGCUGGCUGUUGCUGUCGAGACUGCUGCGUGGAGCCGGGUGCAGAACUGUCCCCCACACUGCCCCACCAGCUCUAGGGCCCUAGACCUCGGGUCAGGAUCUUCUGCGUGGGAGGGCUUGGGGGCAGCCUGCUCCCCUUCCCUCCCUGAACCGAGAGUUUCUCUGCCCUGUCCCCUCCUCACCUUCUUCCCUACCACUCCUCACUGCAUUUUCCAUACAAAUGUUUCUAUUUUAUUGUUCCUUCUUGUAAUAAAGGGAAGAUAAAACCA
This 1483-nucleotide small RNA is filed under the name Pongo abelii (Sumatran orangutan). RNAcentral's name for it is "retained intron". Lineage: Eukaryota; Metazoa; Chordata; Mammalia; Primates; Hominidae. The record is from RNAcentral.